ACCCACCAGACUCCUUCCCCCUCAGAUCUAAACAUCGGUCUGAGUGACUGAAAGAAGGAAACAUAUAAUGGAAGUGGACUUAGAUUCGUUAGUGACAUACGAGUUCAUUUAAAACAUAU
RNAcentral lists this small nucleolar RNA (119 nucleotides) under Echinops telfairi (small Madagascar hedgehog). RNAcentral's name for it is "Small nucleolar RNA SNORA61 (ENSETEG00000025133.1)". The record is from RNAcentral. Lineage: Eukaryota; Metazoa; Chordata; Mammalia; Afrosoricida; Tenrecidae.